CCAACAUAUAAAUAGCUGCCCUUUAGGUGUUGCAUAUCAAAUUGGCCAAAAUUGCAAAAAAUGGUGAGAUUUGGAAGUACGUAUGAAAGAUGGAAUUAACAAAUCGCUCUUGGAAUUUCUGGUUUGUCCACUCUCUAAACAACCUUUGAGAUAGUCGAUGGGAUCCCUCGUCUUGUACCAACGGAUGGCAAGAUUAUCGAGACUGAUGAUGCAUUAAAUUCUGAUGGCUCUGUUGAUUUGCCUGGCAAAAGAACUGAUGAUCAAAGAGGUAGUUCUUAACACUUCUCAUUGACAAACAACGUUUGGAGUUCAUAAGCUGAUGGAAGGUGUUCAAGAGAAUUAAGUCAGGUGAAUGCUUACUGUGGUUGUUCAAGAUUGAAUGGUGUUUCUCCUUGGUCCAGACUGCCUUUGUCUCCAAAAUCUACUCUUCCAAGACCUUCAACACCAAAACACAUCGAAAAAGAAUUUGCAGCAAGCCAGAAAUUGCUCACAUCUCCACCAUAUGUAUUGAUGGCGAAUUCCUUUGAUUAUUUAAACCGAAUGGUGCUCUCACAAAUUGUGGAGCUUCUUUUGCUCAAACCACAUCUAGAAUUCGAUAAGCGGGUAUGCUAGCCAAAAAUUGCUCAUAAAUAUUGAUUGGGAGUAUUUGUAAUGAUUAAAACGAGUGGUGCUCUGGUAGAUUGUGUAGCAUCUGUUGCCUCUGUGAAGCCGAGGAUGCAUCUUCAGAUCAAGAAGAAAUCUUUAUAUUUGCACUGAAACAUCCAAAAAGAAAUAUUUAGACGAAAAUGCGAUUCGCCAUUAUGAAAGCUGUUCCGCUUUGUUCUGCAUUUUUUCGUUUCUUCUACAGAGAUAAAGGGUCCAAAAAAUGCAACCUCACUUUCUCAGUUUCUUGUACACCUCACAAAUUUCAGAAAUGGAGAUUGGCUUAGCAGUUGGUGGUGCAUUUCUCUCUUCAUUCCUGCAAGUUCUCUUUGAUAGGCUUGCUCCUCAGGGUGAGCUUCUCAAGAUGUUUCAGAAGAACAAGCAUGAUGUUUGACUCUUAAAGAAGCUGAAAAUGACUUUGGUUGGCCUUCAGGCUGUGCUAAGUGACGCGGAGAAUAAGCAGGCAUCAAAUUCACACGUGAGCUAGUGGCUUAAUGAACUUCGAGAUGCUGGGGACUCUGCUAGUCAAUUAUGAGGCUUUGCCACUUAAGGUGGAAGGUCAGCUUCGAAAUCUUGCAGAAACAAGCAACCAACAAGUAAGUAACCUCAAACUGAGCUUGAGUGAUGAUUUUUUUCUUAACAUAAAGGAGAAGUUGGAAGACACUAUUGAAACAUCGGAGGAUUUGCAAAACCAAAUUGGUCUUCUUGGCUUAAAGGAGCAUUUUGCUUCGACUAAACGAGAAAAUAGAACAUCUUUAACUUCUGUGGUUGAAUUUGAUGUCUUUGGUAGGCGGAAUGAAAAAAAGUAAUUGAUUGACUGCUUAACGUCUAAGGAUGCAAGUGAAAAAAAUCUGACUGUUGUCCCUGUUGUUGGAAUGGGGGCGUGGGCAAGACAACACUAGCUAAAGUCGUUUACAAUGAUGAGAAGGUGCAAAACAAUUUUGAUUUGAAAGCUUAGAUCUGUGUGUUUGAGCCAUAUGAUGCUUUCAGAAUAUCAAAAGGGUUACUUCAAGAAAUUGGCUCAUUUGACUUAAAAGGUUGAUGACAAUCUUAAUCAGCUGCGAGUCAAAUUGAAGGAAAGCUUAAAGGGAAAGAAGUUUCUCAUCGUUUUGGAUGAUGUGUGGAAUGAUGACUAUAAUGAGUGGGAUGACUUGAGAAAUCUUUCUGUACAAGGAGAUAUAAGGAGAUAUGGGAAGUAAGAUCAUUGUGACGACACGUAAAGAGAGUGUUCCCCGGAUGAUGGGUAAUGGGGCAAUCAACAUGGGGACUGUGUCUAGUGAAGCCUCUUGGGCUUUAUUCAAACGACAUUCUCUAGAAAACAGGGGUCCUUAGAAUUGGGGAAAGGACAAAUAGCACCUAAAACAAAAAUAAUAUCAUAAAAAUAGCACUUACAAUUAAAUACCCACAAUGAUCUCUUUCAGAAGACUCUGGGACCCUUUCGAACAAUGAUCUUGAUCUCAACUUGUUAGAGUAUUGGUUGCCUAAAUCUUGAUUUCCUUUAUCUCCCCGUGGUACUACAAGACCAUUAGCAGUCCAAUGAUGAAUAACUUGUUCUUUCCUAAAUGGAUAAUCCUUAGGAAAUAUUACACAACAGGAAAAACAUGGCUUUAAAUGUGGGGCAAGUUCAUUGUAGCUCAACAUCAAUGCUGGUAAUAUGUCAUUGUUUGAUAGGUCCCAUAUUUCACUUCUCAAAAUACGUCUCCACCCUUCAACCUCUGAUUUGGAGCCUAACAAGCCAGCGAGCGUCUUCAGAGCUAAGGGCAGUCCUUUGCACUUCGCUGCUAUUUUUUUCUGACCUCUUCAAGUUCCAGAUCUUCCAUAGGGUCCAUGUUUUUAAAUUCAUGUCUCUUAAAUAAAGACCAAGAGUCAUCAAUAGACAAGGUGUUCAUGCUAAUUUGCUCAGUUCGCAUCAUCAAGGCAACACUCUCUUUAUGUCGUCACAGUGAUCUUACUUCCAAUAUCUCCUUGAACGAAAAUAUUCCUCAAGUCAUUCCACUCUUUGUAGUUGUCAUUCCACACAUCAUCCAGAACAAUGAGAAAUCUUUUUCCAUUUAGUUUUUCCUUCAAUUUGACUUGUAACCGAUUAAGAUUAUUGUCAUCCUAUAAGUCAAAUGAGCCAAUAUCUUGAAGUAACCCUUUUGUUAUUCUAAAAGCAUCAUAUAGCUCAGACACACAAAACCAAGAUGUCAAAUUAAAAUGGCUUUGCACCUUCUCAUCAUUGUAAGCAGCUUCAGAAAGUGUUGUCUUGCCCACGCCCCCCAUUCCUACAAUAGGGACAACAAUCAGAUUUUUUUCACUUGCCUCCUUAGACGUUAAACGGUCAAUCAAUUCCUUUUUUCAUUCUGCCUACCAAAGACAUCAAAUUCAACCACAGAAGUUGAAGGUGUUCUAGUUUCUCGUUUAGUCGAAGCAAAAUGCUCCUUUAAGCCAAGGAGGCCAAUUUGCUGUUGCAAAUCCUCCAAUGUUUCAAUGGUGUCUUCCAACUUCUCCUUUAUGUUAAGAAAAUAAUCAUCACUCAAGCUCAAGUUGAGGUCACUUACUUGCUGGUUGCUUGUUUCUGCAAGAUUUCGAAGCUGACCUUCCACCUUAAGUCGCAAAGCCUCAUAAUUGACUUGCAGAGUCCACAGCAUCUCGAAGUUCAUUAAGCCUGCUAAGAGUAAUUUGCAAACAAGAAUGAUCAGUUGGAAAACCUGACGAAGCUGUGUUAUAUGGCAGGACUGAAUUUGAAAAAUUCUACAAGUUGGGACUACGCUGACUUGGUUAAGGAUUGUGCUGCUCUGCUGGCAUAUGAGCUACCCCAAAAAUCUUCUGUUGGGUAUCUUCUAGGAGAUUCACAGCGAGAAAUCAUAGCUGAUGCUGUCAAUGCUAUGGUAUUGUCAACGAAUCCCAGCGUGAAAGAUUCAAGAGAGUGCUUACAUUCACGUCUUGACAGGCUACUGAGGCAGCUUAGUGCUUGCUUCUUGGAGAAGAGGUUGUUGAAUGGGGAUCAGGGUGAAGGUUUCCAUCCUCAGAGAAUACUUAACAGUGGUAGGAAAGACUGAGGUAUAGUCUUGGUUUGCAUUCUCGUCACUCCCAACCCAUGUAUAUGCUCAACCCACCGUGGGGAAAUGCCCCUCGAUGACCAGCACACUUGCUGUGUAGAGUUGUUAUGUACUUUCUUGAUUUGUAGUAAACAUUCAUUUUCUUGGAAAUAUUGGGUUGUCUUCUUUUCAUACCCCAACAGUAAACCUUCUAUAGUUGGUGCACAUUGAAUGGUGAAAUUCUAUACUUGGGGUAUAGCUUUGUACAGUCAUUUUUCAUGUUCUGUAGAUUGUUGUUUUGUGUAAGCUGCUGCUUUAUUUUUCA
RNA transcript from Capsicum annuum, 3987 nucleotides. It is a transcript of the gene named putative disease resistance RPP13-like protein 1, with no coding region annotated. The transcript has 9 exons. The record is from RefSeq and is a predicted model, not a curated record. NCBI's taxonomy places the organism in Eukaryota, Viridiplantae, Streptophyta, Magnoliopsida, Solanales, Solanaceae.